This 263-nucleotide long non-coding RNA is filed under the name Amborella trichopoda. RNAcentral's name for it is "long non-coding RNA (ATRI_LNC003654)". The record is from RNAcentral. Lineage: Eukaryota; Viridiplantae; Streptophyta; Magnoliopsida; Amborellales; Amborellaceae.
UAUGUUCCGUCUCCACCUUUGCCUCCCUCUCUGCUGCCGCCGGUGCCAUACUUGCCAUACGUAUUACCACCACCUCCACCGCCAGUGCCAUCCUUGCCUUAUGUAUUACCACCACCUCCACCGCCCGUGCCAUCCUUGCCAUACGUAUUACCACCACCUCCAUCGCCCGUGCCAUCCUUGCCAUACGUAUUACCACCACCUCCACCGCCAGUGUCGUCGCUGCCAUAUGUCUUGCCUCCACCGGUAACACCACUUCCAUAUGU